This 256-nucleotide small RNA is filed under the name Arabidopsis thaliana (thale cress). RNAcentral describes it as "ATSL201100". The record is from RNAcentral. Lineage: Eukaryota; Viridiplantae; Streptophyta; Magnoliopsida; Brassicales; Brassicaceae.
UAAACCUUAAACCCUAAACCCUAAAUCCUAAACCCUUACCCUAAACCCAAAACCCUAAACUAUAGACCCUAAACUAUAGACCCUAAACUUUAAAACAUAAAUCCUACUUUAGCUUCCGGAAUCCAGUUGCGGUUCUAGUUCUUAUACUCAAUCAUACACAUGACAUCUAGUCAUGUUUGACACAAAAACCCAAACCAUGGUUCUACUUCCUUCACAAAGAUUUGACCAUGUAGUAGAAGUCCGUAUGAUUUUUUGU